This is an RNA transcript of Cebus imitator (Panamanian white-faced capuchin), 4887 nucleotides long. RefSeq lists it as uncharacterized. NCBI's taxonomy places the organism in Eukaryota, Metazoa, Chordata, Mammalia, Primates, Cebidae. The record is from RefSeq and is a predicted model, not a curated record. The transcript has 4 exons.
CAUGCCACUGCACUCUAGCCUGGGCCACAGAGCAAGACUCUGUCUCAAAUAAACAAAUAAAUAAAGUUAGCCAGGCACAGUGGUGAAUGCCUAUAGUUACAGGUAAUUGAGAGUCUGAGGCAGGAGGACUGCUCAAGCCCAAGAGUUUAAGGUUACAGUGAGCUAUGAUUAUGCCACUGUGCUUCAGACUAAGCAAAAGAGUGAGACUCUGUCUUAUAAGAGACUACAGCCUCUCAUUUGUAAUUUGUGUUUGCUUCUGCAAAAACCAAGUCUAGACUCAUGGUCUUGAACUAUGGGACAUCUGAAUUCCAGUAAGUGUUAGAUUCAGGCAACUGAGGGGUAGCCUUGUGCACACUGUGUGCAUGUGAAAAAAGGGUUCAUGGGGAACUAAAAGGCAAAACAGGGGAAAGUGCCAUUAAGAACCCACAAGUGGCAGACAGUACAGGGCUGGUGGAAAGACUGGUUCAUGCUACAGAUACUGACCCAGGUGUGGCUUUGCUCUUAUUUCUGUGUCCAUGCAGGAAAAUGAGAUUAUAAUCAGGUGACACAGAAGCCUGGGUUGAUUAAAAAAACAAAACAAAACAGGUUGCCGCUGCAGAUUCAGUGUCUGAGGUAGAGCAUAUGCCAGGAGUCUUGUAGGCACCUGUGUGGGUUUUUGGUGGGAAAGUCUAGGAGGAAAGAUACUGUGAGCAAAAAUCUUGAUGGUGAAGCCUUGUCCUGGGAGGGGCUUGACCACAUCAACAUUCACUGGGUACAUUCAGAGGGAGUGAAAGCCAUGUGGUGGAUGCAGGUUGGCAGGAGGGCAGAGGGCAUCUGUUUUCAGAACUUCUUCCCUCAAAGUCUUCAGUCCUUCUCACUCUGGGAGGACACCUGGAUCAUAGGGCAAUGCAUGAUGUAGCAGCCUGUGUGCAGAGCAGAGCCUACCUUCCCUGAGACACUUGGAAUCUCUCUCCAGCCCAGGCCCCAGCAAUGUCUUUCUUCUUAUAACACUUUUGACACCAAAUGUGUAAAGUUUCCUUAAAAUCAACUGAUUCUCCAACACCCACUUGUUGCCCAAAAAUUCAAUGCUGACACAACUUGGAGUUUGCAGGGACCUCACAAAUUCAGGGCUCAUAUCACCGCUCUCCCUACAGAGGUGAGUCACAUGUCCCAGAAGCCUAUCUAUACUUUUGAGCUAUUACCUGUAAAUCUGAGACUCCUAUAAACUUCUCUUCAGGUUAAAUAAUUUUAUAGGACUAUUUUAAAAAACCUCAACAAAUAACUCUAAUUGUAUUUACCAGUUUAUUAUAAAAAUACAGCUCACAAACAGACAAAUGGAAGAGAUGUCUAGAGCAAGGAACAAUUGUGGGGGAUGGUAGUCCUGGAAACAGCUGUAAUUAAAGAAAUUCCCACAUCCCUUUUGUUCUCCAAGAGCAGCUUAAUGAAGAGAAAGUGCAUCUCAUUAUGACUUAGAGGGUGCUCCCCACUCCUUUCUUUUUUUUUUACCUAUCACAAACAUGGACACUUUUAACAAUAAACAACCAGGUCAGUAAUUUAGUCUUCAGUGGUCAAAACAGAGUACUUCUUAACAAUACUUUGCUUGUUUCUCCUCUACCCACCAGCCCCUGAGCUGUGACCCACCCACAGCCUGAGCCAGCCUACAACCCCUAUUUAUACAUACCUCUCCUGAGAACAGGCUGACUUCAAGGUGAAACAUUCUCUUGUCUGGGAUCUGAUUUUGCUACCCUCCAUCCUGUGCUUCCUUUUCAACUUUUUUUUGGAAACUUGUUUCCUCCUCCCUAUGAAAUAAAGCUCUUUUCCACCUAAUGUUUGAGAUCCUCAAAGACCUUAUCAUUUGUACUUUUUGUUGUUGUUGUAAUACUUCUUAAGUAACUUCUUCUGUAAGUCCUAAUUAGUUUUAUUUGACAAAGUCUAGAAACAGUCUCAGAACAGUAACAAUUUUAUUCUAGAAAGAACCUCCCAGCAUUUAUUCUAUCUCAACCCCAACUGCAUCUGCCUACGAGUUUCCAGAUUACCAAGGCUCUAUAUCUUCCCGAAGUGAUAAAGGCUCCUUCCAUGGUUGGCGUGAGCAGGCUGGGUGGGACACCUGCAGGGCAGACCUUCAGGGAGAAUUAACUGAGCCUUCAAUGACCCACUUUGGCAGGCUGAAGAUUGGCCUGAGCUUUUAGUCAAUGGUCUAAGACUUCUACUUCCCAGUUAGGGUCGUUCACUGAAUUUUCGAUUUAAAAAAUUCUUCAUGUUUAAAGAAUCUAGCAAAAAUUAUUCAAAUCUAAGAUUUAAAAGAAAGAAAAUUACAAAGGGCUUACAUUUUAUACCACAAGAGGAAACAUCAAAGUAUUCCUUUUGAAAAUAAACAUAUAAUGUAAUUAUUUCUAUAACAAAUCAUUUAGUAAACAAUUAUAUGUGAACACUUCCAGGAGGUGCCAAGUCUCAGCUCCUAAAACUUAGCAGUACCCUCAAACAUCCGGAUAGCAGCAUACAUAGCAGAGAUAGUCACUUUCACAAGUUCUCUAUUUUGAAAAAAAGAACAACUGAUAUUGUGAUAAAUUUAUAUAAUUUGACAAUUACUCUACUGCAUGUGCUUGUGGAUAUGUAUUCAUUUUCUACCACCAUAGUGGAAAGAGGCUCUCUCUAUCUUUACGCCUGGUGGCAUUUUCAACACUAAGCUCUUAGAUUCUGCUUGAAAUCACCUCUCAACAAACAAAACAAACCUGGAAAACUUACUGCACUCAUUCUGCUAAAGAAAUAGUGCAUCCUGUGCACAGGUGCUGUGUGUGUGUCCUGGCCUGGGGAGCAUCAUUCUCAGGGGAGAACCUUGCUGAAAACAAAGCUGCAUUCCAAAGAGUUAAAACCAUGUUAUUUACUGGAAUGAGAAAUGCUCUUUGCCAGAAAAAAAUUUCAUAUAAUGAGAGCAAAAAUGGCAAACAUUUGCAGCUGGGGAAACGGAUUCACAGAACACAGGCUGUUCCCUGCAUAUUUUUCCUCCUCAGAUAUCAGUUCAUCUGUCAACCAACUGAUGUGAGAGUUGAGGCCAUGUGUUCCCUAUUAUUCCUGGGCACUCUUCUCAGAGGAAGAAAGGGUCAGGAAGUCCUGUUAGGGGAUGCCUGCUAACAGGCUAAUCUCCCUAAGCUGUGAGAGCUCUAAUCAUCAGGUGCAGACUUUUCAGGAGAGAGAAAUGAGGCAGGCAUUCUGAACCUGAAGCUUCAUCACAUUUUGUUCAUCUCAAGACAGUUUUGACAGGCUGUUUUGGAACAUGUCUGGAAGGUGAACUCUGAAGAAGAGUGUGUACUUUGAUGUGACUCAGAUGAGGUCUUUCAUGGGGAUCAGGAAUUCAAUGCCUAGUAUCUGAGCUGGUGUCUUUGAGGUCAGUAGGUUGCCUCUUUGUAUCAAGUCCAUUGUUACCAGGCAGUAGGCUGGAGAUUCUGAAUGGCUUCCAGAACCCCUCUCUGAUUCUCUUUGGGAGAUGGGGUCUGAAAAAGACAAAGUCAGUAUUUUUGGGAAAUUCUAGAAAGUCUGGUUGGAAACCUGGGAAGACCUCUUGCCUAAUGCCUAAAUGCUCAAUUUUCAGCGCUAGCCAUAUAGAUGCUUGGUAGGCAUAGAGCUGGGUUUGCAUUUAUAUCAGCACAACGUAUGUCAGAGUUGAAGAACAGCCAGGACAAAGUGUCUUGGUCACAGGCUGGGGAACAUCUUAAAAGCAAGCUUCUAGCCUGCUGAUUUUCAUCUUGGCAGUGAGUGUUGGGUCCUGGCCAAAGUGCUUGAAUGCAGCAUGAGUCCAAUCCAUAAAUACACCUUCGAAUGGAGAAAUGUUUGUGUCUUUUCAGUUUGAUGCAAUCAAGGUGCAAUUACCAUGCUAUUGGUUUGUUUACUUUUUAUUAUUUAAUAUCAAAUCUAAGACACAAUACAUUAAAUGCUUAUUGAUAUGUGUAUUUGUUCUUCACCAGCCUCAUAGUAUCUGCCUAAUUUUAAUCCUUCUUCCAUUUUGUAGGUUUCAACUUAUUUUAUUGUAGAAUAUUAAAUCUAAUACAGACAUUGUCAUUUUUACAUAUAAUUUUCUUUAAAAUAUUUUCUAUUGGCAUUUUACCUUAAAUUUUGGACUAUUUUAUCAUAUAAAUAGCUUCAUUUCUAUUUAGAAGAUAAAAGUAUUUGGGUUUCUUGUCUUGUUUUUUUUUAUAUUACUUAGUAAUGAGAUAGCCAUUAAUGUUUUCAGGUAUUUUAAAUUUUAGAUAAUUACUCAUUAUAUCCAUGUGAAGUUUGUUUUUACUGCAUGUGUGGGUUGGAGAGCUGUUUUCACUUCUGCUUCAUCUUUACUCUGAUCUCCCCAGAACUCAUAGCUCUCGUAGUUUGGGAAAUAGCAGGUUACCAUUCCAAUAAAUGGGACAAAUACAAUAAUAACACAAUACAAAUGAGUUUGAAAGCAGGACAUGUCUUCAAAGCAUAAACGACAUGAGCCUACAUAUGUACAACAAAGUAAUGUAUAAGUUACAGUUUGGAUGGAAAAGAAAAGCACAGAAAAUUUGUUAAAUUAAAAUGGAGAUCAGGUCUCAAGAAUUUCUGAGCAGACAAAAUCAGUUAGGUCUCAUAAGUGAUCUCAACCUUGCAUGAUUUGCAAAUGUAAGCAAAACUUAAAUUAUUUCUUGUAGCUGCCUAUUUAAAAAACAGAAAUGAAGCUCAACUAAUCAGGAGUAGCCAGCAACCUUAUAUAAAUAGGAACUGUCCUACAAGUUUAAAAAAAAAAAAAAACCAACCAAACAAGAAACAAUAAAACAAUUUUGUACUACCAGCAAUCAAAUGAUUUCUUUGUUUCUCCAUUUUUCCAUUGGAUACUUGCUUCUUCAUGUUCUAUGAUUUAUCAAUUGCUCUUACUCAAAUAAACACUUCACAAUUUCA